UAACACGUAUCCAACCUGCCGAUGACUCGGGGAUAGCCUUUCGAAAGAAAGAUUAAUACCCGAUGGCAUAGUUCUUCCGCAUGGUAGAACUAUUAAAGAAUUUCGGUCAUCGAUGGGGAUGCGUUCCAUUAGGUUGUUGGCGGGGUAACGGCCCACCAAGCCUUCGAUGGAUAGGGGUUCUGAGAGGAAGGUCCCCCACAUUGGAACUGAGACACGGUCCAAACUCCUACGGGAGGCAGCAGUGAGGAAUAUUGGUCAAUGGACGAGAGUCUGAACCAGCCAAGUAGCGUGAAGGAUGACUGCCCUAUGGGUUGUAAACUUCUUUUAUACGGGAAUAAAGUGAGGCACGUGUGCCUUUUUGUAUGUACCGUAUGAAUAAGGAUCGGCUAACUCCGUGCCAGCAGCCGCGGUAAUACGGAGGAUCCGAGCGUUAUCCGGAUUUAUUGGGUUUAAAGGGAGCGUAGGCGGACGCUUAAGUCAGUUGUGAAAGUUUGCGGCUCAACCGUAAAAUUGCAGUUGAUACUGGGUGUCUUGAGUACAGUAGAGGCAGGCGGAAUUCGUGGUGUAGCGGUGAAAUGCUUAGAUAUCACGGAGAACUCCGAUUGCGAAGGCAGCCUGCUGGACUGUAACUGACGCUGAUGCUCGAAAGUGUGGGUAUCAAACAGGAUUAGAUACCCUGGUAGUCCACACAGUAAACGAUGAAUACUCGCUGU
This 713-nucleotide ribosomal RNA is filed under the name uncultured bacterium. RNAcentral's name for it is "bacterial SSU rRNA". It matches the Rfam family "Bacterial small subunit ribosomal RNA", at positions 111 to 823 of the family's 1533-position model. The record is from RNAcentral.